GGGAGAGUGGUGGAAUCAGGUAUACACGGCAGACUUAAAAUCUGCUCCCCGAAAGGGGUUGAGGGUUCGACUCCCUCCUCUCCCACCA
Molecule: transfer RNA, 88 nt
Rfam family: tRNA
About the family: Transfer RNA (tRNA) molecules are approximately 80 nucleotides in length. Their secondary structure includes four short double-helical elements and three loops (D, anti-codon, and T loops). Further hydrogen bonds mediate the characteristic L-shaped molecular structure. tRNAs have two regions of fundamental functional importance: the anti-codon, which is responsible for specific mRNA codon recognition, and the 3' end, to which the tRNAs corresponding amino acid is attached (by aminoacyl-tRNA synthetases). tRNAs cope with the degeneracy of the genetic code in two manners: having more than one tRNA (with a specific anti-codon) for a particular amino acid; and 'wobble' base-pairing, i.e. permitting non-standard base-pairing at the 3rd anti-codon position.